GUAACAAGGUCUCCGUUGGUGAACCAGCGGAGGGAUCAUUACCGAGUUUACAACUCCCAAACCCCUGUGAACAUACCACUUGUUGCCUCGGCGGAUCAGCCCGCUCCCGGUAAAACGGGACGGCCCGCCAGAGGACCCCUAAAACUCUGUUUCUAUAUGUAACUUCUGAGUAAAACCAUAAAUAAAUCAAAACUUUCAACAACGGAUCUCUUGGUUCUGGCAUCGAUGAAGAACGCAGCAAAAUGCGAUAAGUAAUGUGAAUUGCAGAAUUCAGUGAAUCAUCGAAUCUUUGAACGCACAUUGCGCCCGCCAGUAUUCUGGCGGGCAUGCCUGUUCGAGCGUCAUUUCAACCCUCAAGCACAGCUUGGUGUUGGGACUCGCGUUAAUUCGCGUUCCUCAAAUUGAUUGGCGGUCACGUCGAGCUUCCAUAGCGUAGUAGUAAAACCCUCGUUACUGGUAAUCGUCGCGGCCACGCCGUUAAACCCCAACUUCUGAAUGUUGACCUCGGAUCAGGUAGGAAUACCCGCUGAACUUAAGCAUAUCA
Molecule: ribosomal RNA, 544 nt
Filed under: Fusarium oxysporum
Lineage: Eukaryota; Fungi; Ascomycota; Sordariomycetes; Hypocreales; Nectriaceae
Description: eukaryotic LSU rRNA
Rfam family: 5.8S ribosomal RNA (bases 191-344)
Source: RNAcentral